This 62-nucleotide transfer RNA is filed under the name Lampyridae sp. UPOL ZL2011. RNAcentral describes it as "tRNA-Phe". Lineage: Eukaryota; Metazoa; Arthropoda; Insecta; Coleoptera; Lampyridae. The record is from RNAcentral.
UAUUUUAAGAUUAACAUCUCCUUAAUAUCUUCAAUAUUAAGCUCUAUAUAAGCUAUUAAAAU